CACAGUGGGAGCGAGGUCUCGUUGAUGAUCGGGGCUGGCACCGAGAUUCUACAUGGAACGAGUGGCGUACGGGUGAGUCACACGUGGGUAACCUGCCCUUAAGUGGGGGAUAACAUUUGGAAACAGAUGCUAAUACCGCAUAGAUCCAAGAACCGCAUGGUUCUUGGCUGAAAGAUGGCGUAAGCUAUCGCUUUUGGAUGGACCCGCGGCGUAUUAGCUAGUUGGUGAGGUAAUGGCUCACCAAGGCGAUGAUACGUAGCCGAACUGAGAGGUUGAUCGGCCACAUUGGGACUGAGACACGGCCCAAACUCCUACGGGAGGCAGCAGUAGGGAAUCUUCCACAAUGGACGCAAGUCUGAUGGAGCAACGCCGCGUGAGUGAAGAAGGCUUUCGGGUCGUAAAACUCUGUUGUUGGAGAAGAAUGGUCGGCAGAGUAACUGUUGUCGGCGUGACGGUAUCCAACCAGAAAGCCACGGCUAACUACGUGCCAGCAGCCGCGGUAAUACGUAGGUGGCAAGCGUUAUCCGGAUUUAUUGGGCGUAAAGCGAGCGCAGGCGGUUUUUUAAGUUCUGAUGUGAAAGCCC
Molecule: ribosomal RNA, 584 nt
Filed under: Lacticaseibacillus casei
Lineage: Bacteria; Bacillati; Bacillota; Bacilli; Lactobacillales; Lactobacillaceae
Description: bacterial SSU rRNA
Rfam family: Bacterial small subunit ribosomal RNA
Source: RNAcentral